CGUAGGGUGCAAGCGUUGUCCGGAAUUAUUGGGCGUAAAGAGCUCGUAGGCGGUCUGUUGCGUCGGCUGUGAAAACCCGGGGCUCAACCCCGGGCCUGCAGCCGAUACGGGCAGACUAGAGUUCGGCAGGGGAGACUGGAAUUCCUGGUGUAGCGGUGAAAUGCGCAGAUAUCAGGAGGAACACCGGUGGCGAAGGCGGGUCUCUGGGCCGAUACUGACGCUGAGGAGCGAAAGCGUGGGGAGCGAACAGGAUUAGAUACCCUGGUAGUCCACGCCGUAAACGUUGGGCGCUAGGUGUGGGUCCCCUUCCACGGGAUCCGUGCCGCAGCUAACGCAUUAAGCGCCCCGCCUGGGGAGUACGGCCGCAAGGCUA
RNAcentral lists this ribosomal RNA (373 nucleotides) under uncultured organism. Its description in RNAcentral is "bacterial SSU rRNA". It matches the Rfam family "Bacterial small subunit ribosomal RNA", at positions 526 to 896 of the family's 1533-position model. The record is from RNAcentral.